CUUAAGCCCCUACCCUGGAAC
This 21-nucleotide non-coding RNA is filed under the name Rattus norvegicus (Norway rat). The record is from RNAcentral. Lineage: Eukaryota; Metazoa; Chordata; Mammalia; Rodentia; Muridae.